RNAcentral lists this ribosomal RNA (252 nucleotides) under uncultured bacterium. RNAcentral's name for it is "partial 16S ribosomal RNA". It matches the Rfam family "Bacterial small subunit ribosomal RNA", at positions 524 to 776 of the family's 1533-position model. The record is from RNAcentral.
UACGUAGGGUGCAAGCGUUAAUCGGAAUUACUGGGCGUAAAGCGUGCGCAGGCGGUUAUGUAAGACAGAUGUGAAAUCCCCGGGCUCAACCUGGGAACUGCAUUUGUGACUGCAUAGCUAGAGUACGGUAGAGGGGGAUGGAAUUCCGCGUGUAGCAGUGAAAUGCGUAGAUAUGCGGAGGAACACCGAUGGCGAAGGCAAUCCCUGGACCUGUACUGACGCUCAUGCACGAAAGCGUGGGGAGCAAACAGG